AAACUAUAUAUCAGGCAUUUUCUAAUUAAUUCCUUGAAACACUCUCAUGCUUCAUAUAAAGUCUCAUCUUCAGAUUGCCUAAAUGAUGUAAUGUCAUAACUUAGCUU
Non-coding RNA from Gossypium arboreum, 107 nucleotides. NCBI's taxonomy places the organism in Eukaryota, Viridiplantae, Streptophyta, Magnoliopsida, Malvales, Malvaceae. The record is from Rfam.